This 484-nucleotide ribosomal RNA is filed under the name uncultured bacterium. RNAcentral's name for it is "partial 16S ribosomal RNA". It matches the Rfam family "Bacterial small subunit ribosomal RNA", at positions 30 to 507 of the family's 1533-position model. The record is from RNAcentral.
AUUGAACGCUGGCGGCAGGCCUAACACAUGCAAGUCGAGCGGAUGAAGGGAGCUUGCUCCUGGAUUCAGCGGCGGACGGGUGAGUAAUGCCUAGGAAUCUGCCUGGUAGUGGGGGAUAACGUCCGGAAACGGGCGCUAAUACCGCAUACGUCCUGAGGGAGAAAGCGGGGGAUCUUCGGACCUCACGCUAUCAGAUGAGCCUAGGUCGGAUUAGCUAGUUGGUGGGGUAAAGGCCUACCAAGGCGACGAUCCGUAACUGGUCUGAGAGGAUGAUCAGUCACACUGGAACUGAGACACGGUCCAGACUCCUACGGGAGGCAGCAGUGGGGAAUAUUGGACAAUGGGCGAAAGCCUGAUCCAGCCAUGCCGCGUGUGUGGAGAAGGUCUUCGGAUUGUAAAGCACUUUAAGUUGGGAGGAAGGGCAGUAAGUUAAUACCUUGCUGUUUUGACGUUACCAACAGAAUAAGCACCGGCUAACUUCGUG